UUGGAGGGCAAGUCUGGUGCCAGCAGCCGCGGUAAUUCCAGCUCCAAUAGCGUAUAUUAAAGUUGUUGCAGUUAAAAAGCUCGUAGUUGAAUUUCGGGAUCAAAUUGUCGGUCGUGCCUCGGUACGCACUGGUAUUAUUGGUUCCUACCUUCUGAAGAACCGCGAUGUCAUUAAUUUGGUGUCGUGGGGAAUCAGGACUGUUACUUUGAAAAAAUUAGAGUGUUUAAAGCAGGCUUACGCUUGAAUACAUUAGCAUGGAAUAAUGAAAUAGGACGUUUGAUUCUAUUUUGUUGGUUUCUAGGAUUGACGUAAUGAUUAAUAGGGAUAGUUGGGGGUAUUAGUAUUCAAUUGUCAGAGGUGAAAUUCUUGGAUUUAUUGAAGACUAACUACUGCGAAAGCAUUUGCCAAGGAUGUUUUCAUUAAUCAAGAACGAAAGUUAGGGGAUCGAAGACGAUCAGAUACCGUCGUAGUCUUAACCAUAAACUAUGCCGACUAGGGAUCGGAUGAUGUUAAUUUUUUAAUGACUCAUUCGGCGCCUUACGGGAAACCAAAGUGUUUGGGUUC
RNAcentral lists this ribosomal RNA (564 nucleotides) under uncultured Glomeromycotina. RNAcentral's name for it is "SSU rRNA". It matches the Rfam family "Eukaryotic small subunit ribosomal RNA", at positions 548 to 1114 of the family's 1831-position model. Lineage: Eukaryota; Fungi; Glomeromycota. The record is from RNAcentral.